RNAcentral lists this long non-coding RNA (4243 nucleotides) under Pelobates cultripes (western spadefoot toad). The record is from RNAcentral. Lineage: Eukaryota; Metazoa; Chordata; Amphibia; Anura; Pelobatidae.
AUUAUAGACGGGGCAGGGAAGGUGAGGAGUAGGAGAAUAUUAUAGACGGGGCAGGGAAGGUGAGGAGUAGGAGAAUAUUAUAGACGGGGCAGGGAAGGUGAGGAGUAGGAGAAUAAUAUAGACGGGGCAGGGAAGGUGAGGAGUAGGAGAAUAUUAUAGAUGGGGCAGGGAAGGUGAGGAGUAGGAGAAUAUUAUAGACGGGGCAGGGAAGGUGAGGAGUAGGAGAAUAUUAUAGACGGAGCAGGGAAGGUGAGGAGUAGGAGAAUGUGUGUGAUGGGGCAGGGAAGGUGAGGGAGUAGGAGAAUAUUAUAGGCCAGGGGCAGGGGAAGGUGAGGAGUAGGGAGAAUAUUAGGCAGACAGGGGAAGGUGAGGAGUAGAAGGAGGAAUAUUAUAGGCGGGGCAGGGAAGGUGAGGAGUAGGGGAGUAUUAUAGGCGAGGGCGGGAAGGUGAGGAGUAAGAGAGUAUUAUAGACGGGGCAGGGAAGGUGGAGCAGAGAGGAUGAGAGAAGGCAAGCAGUGGAGUGGGGGGAUAGCAGUACAAUACAAUAAAUACAAAGCAUUAUCAGUAACAUCCUAUAUUAAAACAUACAUUGGGUCUGUUGCAACCCAGUUUUGUAAUGAUCACUCUUGCUCUGACUGUCAGAAUUGCUCAGUUUUUGCAUUUCUUGUUAAUCUUUUCAAAUCGAGCUGAAUAUCUCAAAAUCACAAAUUUAAUGAAAAGAAAAUGAAAUGGGAGAAGAGAUUUUCACUAUCACAGGUCAAAGGUUAUGGACAGCCGAGGACAUUGACAAUGCUAGUAUGUAACAGGGUGUGUCAUUGUGAUCUGUAUAGAUACAGCAGUGUGUGUGUUCCUUCAAAUAGUUCCAUACAGACAUUGCAAUGUGUGUCCCUUUAAAGUGUGUCAUACAGGCAUUGCAAUAUGUGUCUGUAACGGAGCUCCCUGUACCCUGGCAGGGAACCUCCGCCAAGGAACGCUUCCUAGCUGGAACAGGGGAAAACCUCAGCGCUUCUGCCCCAGUUGCCGUGGCUUGACUGGGGUCCUCCUAGAGCCACUCCGUCCUCGAGCAGGAUAGGGGACCAGCUCCAAUCAUUCCCAGGGACUUGACGACACACAGCCCUGGGAGCUCUAGUACUUACAACGACUUUCCCAGUCGACUCCUCCACGAGCUGGAACAAGGUGCUGAGCAGUGAUUAGCCCUUUCCGUCCAAGUACUUUAAAGUGUUCCAUACAGACAUUGCAGUGUGUGUGUGCCUUUAAAGUGUGUCAUACAGACAUAGCAGUGUGUGUGUGUGUCGCUUUAACGUGUUCCUUACAGACAUUGCAGUGUGUGUCCCCCUUUAACGUGUUCCUUACAGACAUUGCAGUGUGUGUCCCCCUUUAACGUGUUCCUUACAGAUAUUGCAGUAUGUGUGUCCCCCUUUAAUGUGUUCCUUACAGACAUUGCAGUAUGUGUGUCCCCCUUUAAUGUGUUCCUUACAGACAUUGCAGUGUGUGUCCCUUUAACGUGUGUUAUGCAGACAUUGCAGUGUGUCCCCCCCUUUAACGUGUUCCUUACAGACAUUGCAGUGUGUGUGUCCCUUUAACAUGUUCUUUACAGACAUUGUAGUGUGUGUGUCCCUUUAACGUGUUCCAUACAGACAUUGCAGUGUGUGUGUCCCUUUAAUGUGUUCCUUACAGAUAUUGCAGUAUGUGUGUCCCUUUAACGUGUUCCUUACAGACAUUGCAGUGUGUGUGUCCCUUUAACGUGUUCCUUACAGACAUUGCAGUGUGUGUCCCUUUAACGUGUUCCUUACAGACAUUGCAGUGUGUGUCCCUUUAAAGUGUGUCAUGCAGACAUUGCAGUGUGUCCCCCCCUUUAACGUGUUCCUUACAGACAUUGCAGUGUGUGUCCCCCUUUAACGUGUUCCUUACAGACAUUGCAGUAUGUGUGUCCCCCUUUAAUGUGUUCCUUACAGACACUGCAGUGUGUGUCCCUUUAACGUGUGUUAUGCAGACAUUGCAGUGUGUCCCCCCCUUUAACGUGUUCCUUACAGACAUUGCAGUGUGUGUGUCCCUUUAACGUGUUCCUUACAGACAUUGCAGUGUGUGUCCCUUUAACGUGUUCCUUACAGACAUUGCAGUGUGUGUCCCUUUAAAGUGUGUCAUGCAGACAUUGCAGUGUGUCCCCCCCUUUAACGUGUUCCUUACAGACAUUGCAGUGUGUGUCCCCCUUUAACGUGUUCCUUACAGACAUUGCAGUAUGUGUGUCCCCCUUUAAUGUGUUCCUUACAGACAUUGCAGUGUGUGUGUCCCUUUAACGUGUUCCUUACAGACAUUGCAGUGUGUGUCCCUUUAAAGUGUGUUAUGCAGACAUUGCAGUGUGUGUCCCCCUUUAACGUGUUCCUUACAGACAUUGCAGUGUGUGUCCCCUUUUAACGUGUUCCAUACAGACAUUGCAGUGUGUGUCCCUUUAACGUGUUCCUUACAGACAUUGCAGUGUGUGUGUCCCUUACAGACAUUGCAGUGUGUGUCCCUUUAACGUGUUCCUUACAGACAUUGCAGUGUGUGUCCCUUUAAUGUGUUCCAUACAGACAUUGCAGUAUGUGUCCCUUUAACGUGUUCCUUACAGACAUUGCAGUGUGUGUGUCCCUUACAGACAUUGCAGUGUGUGUCCCUUUAAAGUUUUCCUUACAGACAUUGCAGUGUGUGUCCCCCUUUGUCGUGUUCCUUACAGACAUUGCAGUGUGUGUCCCCCUUUGACGUGUUCCUUACAGACAUUGCAGUGUGUGUGUCCCUUUAACGUGUUCCUUACAGAUAUUGCAGUGUGUGUGUCCCCCUUUAACGUGUUCCUUACAGAUAUUGCAGUGUGUGUCUCCCUUUGUCGUGUUCCUUACAGACAUUGCAGUGUGUGUCCCUUUAAAGUUUUCCUUACAGACAUUGCAGUGUGUGUCCCCCUUUGACGUGUUCCUUACAGAUAUUGCAGUGUGUGUGCCCCUUUAACGUGUUCCUUACAGACAUUGCAGUGUGUGUCCCCCUUUGUCGUGUUCCUUACAGACAUUGCAGUGUGUGUCCCCCUUUGACAGACAUUGCAGUGUGUGUCCCCCUUUGUCGUGUUCCUUACAGACAUUGCAGUGUGUGUCCCCCUUUGACGUGUUCCUUACAGACAUUGCAGUGUGUGUGUCCCUUUAACGUGUUUCUUACAGACAUUGCAGUGUGUGUGUGUCCCUUUCACGUGUUCCUUACAGACAUUGCAGUGUGUGUCUCCCUUUGUCGUGUUCCUUACAGACAUUGCAGUGUGUGUCCCUUUAAAGUUUUCCUUACAGACAUUGCAGUGUGUGUCCCCCUUUGACGUGUUCCUUACAGAUAUUGCAGUGUGUGUGCCCCUUUAACGUGUUCCUUACAGACAUUGCAGUGUGUGUCCCCCUUUGUCGUGUUCCUUACAGACAUUGCAGUGUGUGUCCCCCUUUGACGUGUUCCUUACAGACAUUGCAGUGUGUGUGUCCCUUUAACGUGUUUCUUACAGACAUUGCAGUGUGUGUGUGUCCCUUUCACGUGUUCCUUACAGACAUUGCAGUGUGUGUGUGUGUCCCUUUAACGUGUUCCUUACAGACAUUGCAGUGUGUGUCCCCCUUUGUCGUGUUCCUUACAGACAUUGCAGUGUGUGUCCCCCUUUGACGUGUUCCUUACAGACAUUGCAGUGUGUGUCCCCCUUUGUCGUGUUCCUUACAGACAUUGCAGUGUGUGUCCCCCUUUAACGUGUUUCUUACAGACAUUGCAGUGUGUGUGUGUCCCUUUAACGUGUUCCUUACAGACAUUGCAGUGUGUGUCCCCCUUUAACGUGUUCCUUACAGACAUUGCAGUGUGUGUCCCCCUUUAACGUGUUCCUUACAGACAUUGCAGUGUGUGUACCCCUUUAACGUGUUCCUUACAGACAUUGCAGUGUCCCCCCCCCUUUGUCGUGUUUGUAGCGGAGAUGCAAUAUUCCCCAGGUUAUCUCUGCUUAUAAUCCAAGUGAGGCUCAGGAACAAGUAAAUAAUAAAUCCACAGGCAAGGUUUCCAGCAGGUAAAAUAACAGCAAUAUCCCAACAGCAAUCCCAAUAACUGGACGACACACAGUUUCAGGAGCAGAACUGAAAUCUUUAAUCCACAGUCUCCUUAUAAAGCAUGCUCCCAUGCAAGGGAGGGAUUUACAGUAAUUAGUACAGUAGCCAAUCCUGUCCUGGUAACCUCCCACACAUCUCCUCCCCUCAGCCAGCAUCAUAAU